UGAAUACGAGACGCUAAGGCGUCGAAGUAGUGUAUGUCAUACUUCCAAGAAAAGCUUGCACUGUCAUAGAUAAAAAACGCCUGUACCAUAACCGACACAGGUGGGUAGGUAGAGUAUACUAAGGGGCGCGAGAUAACUCUCUCUAAGGAACUCGGCAAAAUAACUCCGUAACUUCGGGAGAAGGAGUGCCUUAUUCUUAAGGUUGCAAUAACAAGAUCCAAGCAACUGUUUAUCAAAAACACAGGUCUCCGCUAAGUCGUAAGACGAUGUAUGGGGGCUGACGCCUGCCCAGUGCCAGAAGGUUAAAGAAGCUGGUUAGCAUUUGCGAAGCUAGUAACUGAAGCCCUGGUGAACGGCGGCCGUAACAAUAACGGUCCUAAGGUAGCGAAAUUCCUUGUCGGGUAAGUUCCGACCCGCACGAAAGGCGUAAUGAUUUGGAUACUGUCUCGGAGAGGGGCUCGGUGAAAUAGACUUGUCUGUGAAGAUGCGGACUACCUGCACCAGGACAGAAAGACCCUAUGAAGCUUUACUGUAACUUGAAAUUGAAAUUGGACUUUAUUCGCGCAGUAUAGGUGGGAGGCGUUGAUUAUAAUCUUGCGGGAUUAUUGGAGCCAUUAGUGAGAUACCACUCUUGUAAUGUUAGAUUUCUAACUUUGAAUCAUUAUCUGGUCAAAGAACAGUUUCAGGCGGGCAGUUUGACUGGGGCGGUCACCUCCUAAACGGUAACGGAGGCGUACAAAGGUUUCCUCUGAACGGUUAGAAAUCGUAUCUAGAGUGUAAAGGCAUAAGGAAGCUUGACUGUGAGACCUACAAGUCGAGCAGGGACGAAAGUCGGUCUUAGUGAUCUGACGGUACUGAGUGGAAAGGCCGUCACUCAACGGAUAAAAGUUACUCUAAGGAUAACAGGCUGAUCUCCCCCAAGAGUUCACAUCGACGGGGAGGUUUGGCACCUCGAUGUCGGCUCAUCGCAUCCUGGGGCGGUAGUACGUCCCAAGGGUUGGGCUGUUCGCCCAUGAAAGCGGUACGCGAGCUGGGUUCAGAACGUCGUGAGACAGUUCGGUCCAUAUCCGGCGUAGGCGUUAGAAUAUUGAGAGGAGCCUUCUUUAGUACGAGAGGACCGAGAAGGACAUACCUCUGGUGUACCAGUUAUCGUGCCAACGGUAAACGCUGGGUAGCUAUGUAUGGAGUGGAUAACCGCUGAAAGCAUCUAAGUGGGAAGCCCACCUCAAGAUAAGUAUUCUCAU
RNAcentral lists this ribosomal RNA (1244 nucleotides) under metagenome. RNAcentral describes it as "bacterial LSU rRNA". It matches the Rfam family "Bacterial large subunit ribosomal RNA", at positions 1564 to 2817 of the family's 2925-position model. The record is from RNAcentral.